Molecule: transfer RNA, 71 nt
Filed under: Candidatus Pacearchaeota archaeon CG10_big_fil_rev_8_21_14_0_10_35_13
Lineage: Archaea; Nanobdellati
Description: tRNA-Gly
Rfam family: tRNA
About the family: Transfer RNA (tRNA) molecules are approximately 80 nucleotides in length. Their secondary structure includes four short double-helical elements and three loops (D, anti-codon, and T loops).
Source: RNAcentral
GCACCAUUAGUAUAGUGGCAGUAUACAGCCUUGCCAAGGCUGUGACCCGGGUCCGAAUCCCGGAUGGUGCA